UUUGGAGGUUAGCAAGCCUGGGUCCAAUGCCACCUCAGGCACCCACUAUCUGAGGGCAAAGGCUCCUGGCUUUUCUGGCCUCAGUUUCCUGAGCAAUAGGGAGAGUUGUAAUCACUACCCCCUUGGCCUUUAGGGUGAGUAGAGCUGACACAUACAGAGCUCCAGCAAGGUACCCAGGCCCUAGGAAGCACUCAGCAAACACAAUCAUCACCCUGGGAAGAUGGCGAGAAGAGAGUGGGCAAUUUGUGCACCGAAAGAAUAGCCAGAUCUGUGGGGGCAUUUCUCCCUGACAUAUUGAUACCAAGCCCAGCCUUGAUUUUCCAGGGGAUGCCCCACUCCUUAUUGCAAAGUCUCUGUUCUGACCUCUGGUAUCCCCUCAGGGACCCUUCAGGCCAUGAGUUCAAAUGCCUGGGAAGCCCACCUCACAGGAGCCUCAAGUCCCAUCCGUCUUGUUCCCAAGUCUGGCAGGAUCCUGACAGCCCCAUGCAUGUGCCUGUCCUCAGACCCCUGCAGAGGGCUGGGUGCAGACCUUGGCAGGAGUAGGCUGGCAGGCAGUCUCUUUCCUUCCCAGGCAGACGUGUGUGUAGCAAGUCUGUUUAUCAGGCAACGCCUUGUAGCCAGCGGUGGCGGCUUAACAGUGGCAGAAACGCCCGCAUUGCCUCACCAGCUGCUGGGUACUAAGAUGCGCCCUUGGCCUCAGCUGGCAGAUAAGCACCUGCAUUGGAGAGGGAACCCUUGAUCAUGGGCUGAUAAGUGCAGGGAAGAAACAACAACAACAACAAGAAAAAGCUGAGCAACCCGCUGUGGAAGGCUUUUUCAUGUACGCAUGGGCGUGUUUCUUGUCUUCGCCAACACAGAGGUGAUGCAAAAGCUCUGAUUCUAAUUUAAUUUGGUGGUCACGCAAUCAUGGAAUGAGAGCAUGUCAGAGCUGGAAGGGACUCUGGGGAUUGUCUGGUUGAACUCUUUAAUCUUCCAGGUGAGGACAGUGAGGGCCACAGAGCUGUACCGACUUGUUCAGGAUCAUCCAGCAAAGUUUUGGUGGAGCUGGAACUAAACCCGAGGGUCUCGAGACCCUUGGGCCUGCGAUCUUUCCAUCAUAUGGGAUUGCUUCACAGGCUGCCACCUGAUCGCUUAGGUGUAGACCGCAGGUUGCCCUUUGGUGCCUUAACAGUCCUCUUUAAUAUCACUAAUUGGCCCUGUCUGCCUGCAGAGUCAGAUAGAUGCCCCCUGUCCCUGCUUCUCCCCCACCACAUGCCAGCUAUUGGGGUUGACCAGUUAGCUCAAGGCCACAGGGUCUGAUGCUACUGUUUCAAACACUGUUAUUUCAUAUUUUGAAAAAGCAAGGUUCAGAUAAGAGAGGCAACUUGCCUAGGUGAUACAGCUAGAGAAAGUGAAAGACCUGGGUCUAAAAUUUUCAGGUUCCUCAUUUCAGUUCUUUCCAUACAUAGUGUAUGAAACCCAGGUGUGGGUGAAGGUGGGCAGAAGGGCACCCGGCCUCUGCAACUUUCCCCUGUGACCUGGUUUUGGGGAAGAGUUGCACAUGUUUCCUCAAGGACAGAAAUGGAGUCUGGCAAGACUUUGUAUUGAAAAUCUUGUUCUCAGUAGGGGCCUCCUAAGCAAUGGGUAUAGAUAAAUGAAUGAAUCCUUUUUUUUUGUUUGUUUUUUUGAGACGGAGUCUUACUCCAUUGCCCAGGCUGGGGUGUGAUGAUCCGAUCUCAGCUCACUGCAACCUCCAUCUCCUGGGUUCAAGCAAUUCUCCUGUCUCAGCUUCCCCAGUAGCUGGGACCACAGGCGUGUGCCACCAUGCCUAGCUAAGUUUUAUAUUUUUUUUAGUAGAGAGGGGUUUUCACC
RNAcentral lists this long non-coding RNA (1851 nucleotides) under Homo sapiens (human). Its description in RNAcentral is "novel transcript". The record is from RNAcentral. Lineage: Eukaryota; Metazoa; Chordata; Mammalia; Primates; Hominidae.